Molecule: ribosomal RNA, 253 nt
Filed under: uncultured bacterium
Lineage: Bacteria
Description: partial 16S ribosomal RNA
Rfam family: Bacterial small subunit ribosomal RNA
Source: RNAcentral
UACGAAGGGUGCAAGCGUUAUUCGGAUUUAUUGGGUGUAAAGGGUGCGUAGACGGCAUGUUAAGUCCGCUGUUAAAUUUCCCAGCUUAACUGGGAGCCAGCGGUGGAUACUGAUGUGCUAGAGGAUGGAAGAGAGAAGUGGAAUUCCCGGAGUAGCGGUAAAAUGCGUAGAUCUCGGGAGGAACACCAAUGGCGAAGGCAGCUUCUUGGUCCAUAUCUGACGUUGAGGCACGAAAGCGUGGGGAGCAAACAGG